Molecule: long non-coding RNA, 612 nt
Organism: Melospiza melodia melodia
Lineage: Eukaryota; Metazoa; Chordata; Aves; Passeriformes; Passerellidae
Exons: 3
Source: RefSeq, a predicted model, not a curated record
AGGACAUAACAUCAGAGAGCGGCUCCUCUGCCCUCCAAAACAACAACUUUCCUACCAUCUUGGAGGCUCGUCGCUGAAGAUUUUUUUUUAAAUAAUCUGUAAAGAUCAACUCUCUGGAAAAAAAAUUUAAAGGAGACACACUGCUGUUCUUGGCAGGCUGUACAGACAGGAGUGCACAGGAGCAGCGAGAUGAAGGCUACUGCACCUGAAGGAGACUAGCAAUGCACCCGCUGAGAAGUUCUGCCAGUUGGCCACCAGGUGGAAGCAGGGCUGCACUUGGGGAAUUGCAGGAAUUGCUGCUCCUCCGGGGCUGCGCUCAGCUCCAAAACAAAGCCUAACAAAGCCCCUGCCCACGCCAGCAGAGUCGGGAUAACGGCACCCACCAGCCUCGCAUGUGGAGUGAGCUGCAUCAGCACGCUGACGGCUCAGGCAGUGUGAGCACCUGCCUGCUCAGCCCUUACCGUAACACCGGGAAAAAUACUCAGAGCGUGGUUAUCUCCACAUCCCACUUUUUCAUAAUUCUCUAACCUGAGGUUGCAGCUUCAGGACCGGCAAGUAGUGGCACUGACUGUGAACUUUUUCUCUUAAAUAAACAGAGGUAAGUUGUGUGAA